Molecule: ribosomal RNA, 768 nt
Filed under: uncultured Gemella sp.
Lineage: Bacteria; Bacillati; Bacillota; Bacilli; Caryophanales; Gemellaceae
Description: bacterial SSU rRNA
Rfam family: Bacterial small subunit ribosomal RNA
Source: RNAcentral
GACGAACGCUGGCGGCGUGCCUAAUACAUGCAAGUCGAGCGAAGAAUUUCUGGUGCUUGCACUAGAAAUUCUUAGCGGCGAACGGGUGAGUAACACGUAAAGAACCUGCCUUAUAGACUGGGAUAACUACGGGAAACUGUAGCUAAUACCGGAUAACAACAUUUUCCGCAUGGGAGAUGUUUAAAAGUUGGUGAAGCUAACACUAUAAGAUGGCUUUGCGGAGCAUUAGCUAGUUGGUGGGAUAAAAGCCUACCAAGGCGACGAUGCAUAGCCGACCUGAGAGGGUGAACGGCCACAUUGGGACUGAGACACGGCCCAAACUCCUACGGGAGGCAGCAGUAGGGAAUCUUCCGCAAUGGACGAAAGUCUGACGGAGCAACGCCGCGUGAGUGAAGAAGGAUUUCGGUUCGUAAAGCUCUGUUGUUAGGGAAGAAAGGUUGUGUAGUAACUAUACACAAAACAGACGGUACCUAACCAGAAAGCCACGGCUAACUACGUGCCAGCAGCCGCGGUAAUACGUAGGUGGCAAGCGUUGUCCGGAAUUAUUGGGCGUAAAGCGCGCGCAGGUGGUUUAGAAAGUCUAAUGUGAAAGCCCACGGCUCAACCGUGGAAGGUCAUUGGAAACUGAUAAACUUGAGUGCAGGAGAGAAAAGUGGAAUUCCUAGUGUAGCGGUGAAAUGCGUAGAGAUUAGGAGGAACACCAGUGGCGAAGGCGGCUUUUUGGCCUGCAACUGACACUGAGGCGCGAAGGCGUGGGGAGCAAACAGG